Molecule: ribosomal RNA, 253 nt
Filed under: uncultured bacterium
Lineage: Bacteria
Description: partial 16S ribosomal RNA
Rfam family: Bacterial small subunit ribosomal RNA
Source: RNAcentral
UACGUAGGGUGCAAGCAUUGUCCGGAUUUAUUGGGCGUAAAGAGCUCGUAGGCGGCUUGUCACGUCGGGUGUGAAAACUCGGGGCUCAACCCCGAGCCUGCACUCGAUACGGGCUAGCUAGAGUGUUGCAGGGGAGACUGGAAUUCCUGGUGUAGCGGUGAAAUGCGCAGAUAUCGGGAAGAACACCCGUGGCGAAGGCGGCUCUCUGGGACGGUACUGACGCUGAGACGCGAAAGCGUGGGGAGCGAACAGG